RNAcentral lists this non-coding RNA (22 nucleotides) under Sclerotinia trifoliorum. Lineage: Eukaryota; Fungi; Ascomycota; Leotiomycetes; Helotiales; Sclerotiniaceae. The record is from RNAcentral.
UACUGAUUCGUGGCUUUCAUGC